This 215-nucleotide ribosomal RNA is filed under the name Klebsiella pneumoniae. Its description in RNAcentral is "partial 16S ribosomal RNA". It matches the Rfam family "Bacterial small subunit ribosomal RNA", at positions 1 to 214 of the family's 1533-position model. Lineage: Bacteria; Pseudomonadati; Pseudomonadota; Gammaproteobacteria; Enterobacterales; Enterobacteriaceae. The record is from RNAcentral.
ACUUAAAUUGAAGAGUUUGAUCAUGGCUCAGAUUGAACGCUGGCGGCAGGCCUAACACAUGCAAGUCGAGCGGUAGCACAGAGAGCUUGCUCUCGGGUGACGAGCGGCGGACGGGUGAGUAAUGUCUGGGAAACUGCCUGAUGGAGGGGGAUAACUACUGGAAACGGUAGCUAAUACCGCAUAACGUCGCAAGACCAAAGUGGGGGACCUUCGGG